Molecule: transfer RNA, 65 nt
Filed under: Taraxacum officinale
Lineage: Eukaryota; Viridiplantae; Streptophyta; Magnoliopsida; Asterales; Asteraceae
Also listed under: 2 other names
Description: tRNA-Phe
Rfam family: tRNA
About the family: Transfer RNA (tRNA) molecules are approximately 80 nucleotides in length. Their secondary structure includes four short double-helical elements and three loops (D, anti-codon, and T loops). Further hydrogen bonds mediate the characteristic L-shaped molecular structure. tRNAs have two regions of fundamental functional importance: the anti-codon, which is responsible for specific mRNA codon recognition, and the 3' end, to which the tRNAs corresponding amino acid is attached (by aminoacyl-tRNA synthetases). tRNAs cope with the degeneracy of the genetic code in two manners: having more than one tRNA (with a specific anti-codon) for a particular amino acid; and 'wobble' base-pairing, i.e. permitting non-standard base-pairing at the 3rd anti-codon position.
Source: RNAcentral
GGGAUAGCUCAGUCGGUAGAGCAGAGGACUCAAAAUCUUUGUGCACCAGUUCGAAUCUGGUUCCU